UACGUAGGGGACAAGCGUUGUCCGGAUUUACUGGGCGUAAAGGGCGCGUAGGCGGCCGCCUAAGUCAGACGUGAAAUCCCUCGGCUCAACCGGGGAACUGCGUCUGAUACUGGGUGGCUUGAAUCCGGGAGAGGGAUGCGGAAUUCCAGGUGUAGCGGUGAAAUGCGUAGAUAUCUGGAGGAACACCGGUGGCGAAGGCGGAUCUCUGGACCAGUUCUGACACUGAUGAGCGAAAGCCAGGGGAGCAAACAGG
Molecule: ribosomal RNA, 253 nt
Filed under: uncultured bacterium
Lineage: Bacteria
Description: partial 16S ribosomal RNA
Rfam family: Bacterial small subunit ribosomal RNA
Source: RNAcentral